RNAcentral lists this small RNA (1642 nucleotides) under Histoplasma capsulatum var. duboisii H88. RNAcentral's name for it is "Histoplasma capsulatum H88 hypothetical RNA". The record is from RNAcentral. Lineage: Eukaryota; Fungi; Ascomycota; Eurotiomycetes; Onygenales; Ajellomycetaceae.
UGCAUUUAGCGCCCACCACAGCAACGUUCCAGGUUUGUCUGUGGUUAAACGUCCUUCCAUGUAACAAUGACUGGCCAACAGUGGCGUUUCGGAUUGGUUUGUUGUUUCUACAAAUAGCCUGAGAUCUGUCAAAGGAGUCUUUUGCUGUUUCAACGAAAGAUGAUGCGAAGCUGCGAGUGUCCAUCUACUGGCCGCCUCAUUUCCGCAAGCAACAACCAGUUCUCACAAGUACCUUUCCUUUGAUCUUUUCUGUCAUUCUUUAUUUAUUUACAGUUGAAUUCCUCCUCCGUCCUUUAAUUUUUUUUUAUAAUUUUAUAUCCUUUGGAUUCAUAGCAUCUUUGGUUCUUCACUACGCCAUUUUCCCUAUCUUUUUUAAUAUCACUCCAUUUAAUCCUAACCCACAUCAAUACUCCCGUUCAUUCAAGCAAAUAUACAGUGGCUUCAGAGAAAUGGCCGCUCAGAUCGCUGGCGUCGUCUCUAAAAAGCUAUUGAAGGAGUCAGCCGAGAAUCGAUUUGGGCAAGAGGACCCAUACUUCGAAACAGUACAUGCAACGAACCUCUUAGGGCGUCCGACGACGAAAAAGAAGCGCAAGGCUGCACCAGAAGGCAUAUCAGCCCGCGAUGCGAAGAUACUUACCAAGGUGAAGCGGCGGGCAUAUAGAUUGGACCUCUGCCUUUUCAAUUUCUGCGGAAUUCGCUUCGGAUGGAGCAGUGUCAUUGGUCUUGUUCCGGCAAUCGGUGAUGCACUUGAUAUGUUUAUGGCCCUGAUGGUGGUAAACACCUGUAACAAAAUAGAAGGCGGUCUCCCUGCGCGCCUUCGAAUGUGGAUGCUCUUCAAUAUCGUUAUCGAUUUCUUCAUCGGCUUGAUUCCUUUCAUCGGCGACCUUGCAGAUGCUGUCUAUAAAUGCAAUACCCGGAACGCCGUCCUCCUCGAAAAUCUGCUGAAAGAGCGCGGGGAGGAAAACCUUAAGCAUACAGGUUUACCACUGCACGAGUCUGCGCGUAUUGAUACCAGUCACGGCACACGACCAACGACUAAAAAUUCAGGACUUAAGUCUUCUCCACCAAGAAACGACUCACCUUCUCGACCACAACCAGCACGAACUCACAUGGGCGGGCCGUCGUCGAGAAAUCCUGCUCCAUCUGCAGAGCGCAAGAGGGAGCCAGAUAUCGAAAUGGGGAGGAUGUAACCCAUUUCCUUUUUACUUCUUUCUUGUAUUGUCUGCUUUCACAUACCCAUUAGUUGUAUUGGCAUUAUCAUAAUAUAUAACGGAGCGAGCUAUUUCAUAUAUCUCGUUUCAAUAUCUAAGAGAUAUAAUAACACUUUAUCAACAAGAAUGCAAAACAUUUCAGAGUUCGGGAGUUCGUGUAACAUUCGCCCCGAAUGGAAUUGGGAUGCUGCAUGUCCAAGUAGUAUGCCUGACGUAUCAAAUCAUCAAAAUUCCGAAUAUGGGAUGGCAGCAAUCCAGGAUAUAGCUAUGUGGCGAGGCUAGCAGCCUGUCUCACAACCAGAUAUUAUUCUAGCCCCACGUUUGAUGCAGAAUGGUAUCGAUUUCGUAUAUGUAUAUAUCAUCUUUGUGGAGUUAUGGAUGCAGAAGUUCGGAGAGACAUGGAGAAAAGGUCUCCAUUUCCAACAAAAAAG